GGAUUCAUACUCAUGAGUUUUACAUACAUACCUGUACCAACUCGUAAUGUAGUCACAUACUUUGACAUACUCUUCAGAUUACCCGUUGAACACUUGGAAUACUAUCGGAUACACGGAAAGUCUUGCACAUAAGUGUCACAAAUGUAGCCAAUUCUACCUCAUAUCUAAUAAAACAUAGGGCUCACACAUGAGCUAAUCACGGGCCUACUCACAC
This 214-nucleotide long non-coding RNA is filed under the name Gossypium barbadense (sea-island cotton). RNAcentral's name for it is "long non-coding RNA (GBAR_LNC012644)". The record is from RNAcentral. Lineage: Eukaryota; Viridiplantae; Streptophyta; Magnoliopsida; Malvales; Malvaceae.